Molecule: small RNA, 130 nt
Filed under: Arabidopsis thaliana (thale cress)
Lineage: Eukaryota; Viridiplantae; Streptophyta; Magnoliopsida; Brassicales; Brassicaceae
Description: ATSL157860
Source: RNAcentral
AGAUCUUCUCCAUCAACAUCUGAAUGAACAUCAUGCUUCAAAGAAGCUUCAAGCUUCAUACACGAUGUCCUUAACUCAUCAUCUUCUGCUACCUUCAAUCUCUUUACACCAAACAAAAAUCCAAAUAUUU